RNAcentral lists this ribosomal RNA (465 nucleotides) under Vreelandella stevensii. RNAcentral's name for it is "partial 16S ribosomal RNA". It matches the Rfam family "Bacterial small subunit ribosomal RNA", at positions 338 to 795 of the family's 1533-position model. The record is from RNAcentral. Lineage: Bacteria; Pseudomonadati; Pseudomonadota; Gammaproteobacteria; Oceanospirillales; Halomonadaceae.
CCUACGGGGGGCAGCAGUGGGGAAUAUUGGACAAUGGGCGAAAGCCUGAUCCAGCCAUGCCGCGUGUGUGAAGAAGGCCUUCGGGUUGUAAAGCACUUUCAGUGGGGAAGAAAGCCUUGGGGCUAAUACCCUCGAGGAAGGACAUCACCCACAGAAGAAGCACCGGCUAACUCCGUGCCAGCAGCCGCGGUAAUACGGAGGGUGCGAGCGUUAAUCGGAAUUACUGGGCGUAAAGCGCGCGUAGGCGGUCUGAUAAGCCGGUUGUGAAAGCCCCGGGCUCAACCUGGGAACGGCAUCCGGAACUGGCAGGCUAGAGUGCAGGAGAGGAAGGUAGAAUUCCCUGUGUAGCGGUGAAAUGCGUAGAGAUCGGGAGGAAUACCAGUGGCGAAGGCGGCCUUCUGGACUGACACUGACGCUGAGGUGCGAAAGCGUGGGUAGCAAACAGGAUUAGAUACCCUAGUAGUC